UAAGGCCUUAGUUCUAUCCUUGGCUUUGGCACUUUUUUUUAUUUAAUUUUAUUUUCUUAGAAAUUUCAUUCUUUAUUUUAUUUUCCAUUCGUAAAUAUUUGAUUUAGAUUAAUCAUUUUUGUAUCCCCUAUUUAAUUUAAAUUAUUUUAAAACAUUGUUAUUUUUAUUCUAUUUUCAUUUUUUUUAAUUUUUUAAAUGCGUAAAAAAAAAGUUAUUUAUUUAUUCAUAUAUCUUUUAACUUAUUUAUAAUCAACUUACUUUGGGGGGUCCUUGUAUAUCAAGUUUUUGUGAGUGGAUCCAUUCAACUCCCUUUGUUUUCCAAUCUUCGUACUUCGAUCAUUUGAAUCUCAAACCUUCAUGUUAUCCAAUAUUCAAAUCAUUUUCUCAAUAAAAUCUGAAGAAAAAGAUUACCCUAGAUGGAAUAUUCA
Molecule: long non-coding RNA, 428 nt
Filed under: Lathyrus oleraceus (garden pea)
Lineage: Eukaryota; Viridiplantae; Streptophyta; Magnoliopsida; Fabales; Fabaceae
Description: Pisum sativum (pea) long non-coding RNA (PSAT_LNC005097)
Source: RNAcentral